Molecule: small RNA, 576 nt
Filed under: Pan troglodytes (chimpanzee)
Lineage: Eukaryota; Metazoa; Chordata; Mammalia; Primates; Hominidae
Description: processed transcript
Source: RNAcentral
CCGGGCCGAGCCGGUGCGCCGCAGACUAGGGCGCCUCGGGCCAGGGAGCGCGGAGGAGCCAUGGCCACCACUAACGGGGCCGUGGAAAACGGGCAGCCGGACAGGAAGCCGCCGGCCCUGCCGCGCCCCAUCCGCAACCUGGAGGUCAAGUUCACCAAGAUAUUUAUCAACAAUGAAUGGCACGAAUCCAAGAGUGGGAAAAAGUUUGCUACAUGUAACCCUUCAACUCGGGAGCAAAUAUGUGAAGUGGAAGAAGGAGAUAAGCCCGACGUGGACAAGGCUGUGGAGGCUGCACAGGUUGCCUUCCAGAGGGGCUCGCCAUGGCGCCGGCUGGAUGCCCUGAGUCGUGGGCGGCUGCUGCACCAGCUGGCUGACCUGGUGGAGAGGGACCGCGCCACCUUGGCCGGCAGCUCCCACUGCAGCCACCCCAGAGCCAGCUAACCUUCAGAGAGCUUCCUGGGAACGCACAAGCACACACGACUGGCCACACAGCAGAGGCCACUGUGCUACAGAUGGAAGAUCAGAUGCCAGUGUGCGUUCCUUCCCAGCACAGCUUUAAAUCCGCCUGGCCUCCGA